ACUUCAUCAGAGCCCUUCUACCCUAUCAUGUGAUGUUUUCUCUUUAAACAGAAUAGGAAUGAUCUGUCUUUGCAACUUGUUGACCUAACCCAAGCUUUUGGCUUGACUGAAAGGAUUCCCUGAAACUAAAGGGCUGUUCUUUGAAGGGAAUCUCUUCCUAACCACGUUCCUUUAAGGGUUCACUUUUAAGGAUCCUACCUCUCCUGAUUAUUUUCACUUUGGUACACCAUCAAAGGGGAGGAGUCGGUGAAAGGAAAUGAAACUGAAACGUGGACCUGGGCAUAGCUGAUCGAAGGUUCUUCAUUUAAGGCUGGAAGACUGUCCCUCAGCAGAGAUGCAUAUGCUAGAAUACCAUCAUCUGGCCACCUCGGGAGAUGCUGAGACCACCCACUCUGCCUUUGCUCAAAUUUCACGCUCACCCAUGAACCUCUGGUCACAUGUGAAUUCCUAGGUGUCUGUGUUUCCCCACCAGGGUACAAUUCCUGGUAUACAAUAACCACUAAAUUGGUGCAUGGAUGAAGGAAAGAAGGAAGGAAAAAAGAAGAAGGCGGGGGGAGGGAUGUGGGAGAGGAAGAUGACUCUACCCUAAGUAGGCACAACAUGAAUUUAAGAAGACUGGGGAAAAAAAGCCUCCUCCAGACUCGGCUGGUGAUUUUGCUGUAUCUGCAUGAAGACUGGAAGCUCCUGCACCGGAAGUACAGUGGCUGCCACUAGCUGAGGCGAGAGAUCCCCUUUCUGAAGGGACAAAGGAGAGGCUCUAAUGUGGGAAGAGGAGGGAAUGUUCCCUUCUCCGUCUCUGAAAAAAGAAUUUGCUGGUGCUGUUUUGAAUGUAGACCAGAUAAUCUACCACAGUGAUUAGAAAAACAAAUCUUCCCUUCUGCAUUGAAAAUAAAAAUACAUGCAUCUGUGAUGCCUA
Long non-coding RNA from Phacochoerus africanus (Common warthog), 916 nucleotides. RefSeq lists it as uncharacterized. The record is from RefSeq and is a predicted model, not a curated record. Lineage: Eukaryota; Metazoa; Chordata; Mammalia; Artiodactyla; Suidae. The transcript is spliced from 4 exons.